CAUGCAUCAGUGGGGGUCCCUCGGCCUGGCCUGCGCCUUCUCACAAUCCGGGACCCCUUGAGGGAUGUCGGAGAGACGGUUCCUGCCCAAUUCUGCAGGCCAGGCCGAGGGACCCCACUGGUGCACG
RNAcentral lists this microRNA precursor (127 nucleotides) under Myotis brandtii (Brandt's bat). RNAcentral describes it as "mir-9193 microRNA precursor family". It matches the Rfam family "mir-9193 microRNA precursor family". Lineage: Eukaryota; Metazoa; Chordata; Mammalia; Chiroptera; Vespertilionidae. The record is from Rfam by way of RNAcentral.